GAUUAACGCUGGCGGCAUGCCUAAUACAUGCAAGUCGAACGGAAGCAGCAAUGCUUUAGUGGCGAACGGGUGAGUAACACGUAGGGAACCUACCUAUACGACGAGGAUAACUACUGGAAACGGUAGCUAAAACUGGAUAGGAUCAAUUGAGGCAUCUUGAUUGAUUUAAAGAUCCUUCGGGAUUACGUAGAGAUGGCCCUGCGGCGCAUUAGCUAGUUGGUGAGGUAACGGCUCACCAAGGCAACGAUCAGUAGCCGACCUGAGAGGGUGAUCGGCCACACUGGAACUGAGACACGGUCCAGACUCCUACGGGAGGCAGCAGUGGGGAAUAUUGCACAAUGGGCGAAAGCCUGAUGCAGCAACGCCGCGUGAGCGAUGAAGG
This 382-nucleotide ribosomal RNA is filed under the name uncultured bacterium. Its description in RNAcentral is "bacterial SSU rRNA". It matches the Rfam family "Bacterial small subunit ribosomal RNA", at positions 28 to 414 of the family's 1533-position model. The record is from RNAcentral.